CCAGAGAUUCGACUAUUCGGCGGGGUUUGUUUACCGGCGUUGCUAUGGUGACCUCAAUUAUUAUAAGCAACUGAAAACGAUGCCGGUUUGAAACUAAAACUGUGAUUCUGAAAAAGAUAUUAAUGCUAUAAAAAUUCCGUUUUGAUAGUAUUGAAGAUACAAGUGUGUAGAUUUGUUUAAUGGUUUGAACGAUGGUAAAGGGUUGAAAAAUGAAUGAGUUACGAUCAGUGCCGCCGCUCCCAUAACGCGCACUACGCGCUGCGCGUAGGGCCUCAAGUCCUGAGGGGGACCCCAAAAAUA
Molecule: long non-coding RNA, 300 nt
Organism: Gadus morhua (Atlantic cod)
Lineage: Eukaryota; Metazoa; Chordata; Actinopteri; Gadiformes; Gadidae
Exons: 2
Source: RefSeq, a predicted model, not a curated record